Molecule: unclassified non-coding RNA, 450 nt
Filed under: uncultured bacterium
Lineage: Bacteria
Description: partial contains 16S ribosomal RNA and 16S-23S ribosomal RNA intergenic spacer
Rfam family: tRNA (bases 268-341)
Source: RNAcentral
GGGWGAAGUCGUAACAAGGUAGCCGUAGGGGUAACCUGCGGCUGGUAUCACCUCCUUUCUAAGGAUGCUUCUCCAGGCCGUCUNUCACGCAGNACUGUCUAUUGAGGCUCCGAUUUAGCGGAGCGCUUCACAGCGCCGAGCACUAUGCGGAAUGCCGCCGUCUCCGUUUCUCUUUCCACUUUCGUCAUCGACGCAUCGACCAUACGGGUUGAUGUAUUGGUGACGCGAUCGCGAGCCUGGGUCUCUUGACCUGGCUGUCGCUGCCAUAGGCCCGUAGCUCANGUGGUUAGAGCGUACGCCUGAUAAGCGUAAGGUCGGCAGUUCGAGUCUGCCNNGGCCUACCAACUGAUGCNGGUUGCUGGGGUUGGCCUUCAGCCCACAGGCAGUUAUCGUAUGACACCUCUUCCUGGGCUUUGUACCAUUUUCCUGUUGGGAAUGGGGGCCAUAGCU